AUAACGACUCUCGGCAACGGAUAUCUCGGCUCUCGCAUCGAUGAAGAACGUAGCGAAAUGCGAUACUUGGUGUGAAUUGCAGAAUCCCGUGAACCAUCGAGUCUUUGAACGCGAAGUUGCGCCCGAAGCCGUUAAGUAAGGGACGUUUGCUGGGUGCUCG
RNAcentral lists this ribosomal RNA (160 nucleotides) under Catalpa bignonioides (southern catalpa). RNAcentral describes it as "5.8S ribosomal RNA". It matches the Rfam family "5.8S ribosomal RNA". From Rfam's summary of the family: 5.8S ribosomal RNA (5.8S rRNA) is a component of the large subunit of the eukaryotic ribosome. It is transcribed by RNA polymerase I as part of the 45S precursor that also contains 18S and 28S rRNA. Functionally, it is thought that 5.8S rRNA may be involved in ribosome translocation. The record is from RNAcentral. Lineage: Eukaryota; Viridiplantae; Streptophyta; Magnoliopsida; Lamiales; Bignoniaceae.